UACGAAGGGUGCAAGCGUUACUCGGAAUUACUGGGCGUAAAGCGUGCGUAGGUGGUUUGUUAAGUCUGAUGUGAAAGCCCCUGGCUCAACCUGGGAAUUGCAUUGGAUACUGGCUGACUAGAGUGCGGUAGAGGGCAGUGGAAUUCCCGGUGUAGCAGUGAAAUGCGUAGAGAUCGGGAGGAACAUCUGUGGCGAAGGCGACUGCCUGGACCAGCACUGACACUGAGGCACGAAAGCGUGGGGAGCAAAC
Molecule: ribosomal RNA, 250 nt
Filed under: uncultured Luteimonas sp.
Lineage: Bacteria; Pseudomonadati; Pseudomonadota; Gammaproteobacteria; Lysobacterales; Lysobacteraceae
Description: partial 16S ribosomal RNA
Rfam family: Bacterial small subunit ribosomal RNA
Source: RNAcentral